This 455-nucleotide ribosomal RNA is filed under the name Bactrocera trivialis. Its description in RNAcentral is "partial large subunit ribosomal RNA". It matches the Rfam family "Bacterial large subunit ribosomal RNA", at positions 1906 to 2568 of the family's 2925-position model. Lineage: Eukaryota; Metazoa; Arthropoda; Insecta; Diptera; Tephritidae. The record is from RNAcentral.
UGCCCACUGAAGUUAUUUAAAUGGCCGCAGUAUUCUAACUGUGCAAAGGUAGCAUAAUCAUUAGUCUUUUAAUUGAAGGCUGGUAUGAACGGUUGGACGAGGUAUAAGCUGUUUCAUAUAAAUUUAUAAUAGAAUUUUAUAUUUUAGUCAAAAAGCUAAAAUUUAAUUAAAAGACGAGAAGACCCUAUAAAUCUUUAUACUUUAUGUUGUUUAAAUUUUUUGGAUUAAUUUUAUUUUUAUAGUUUGAGGUAUUUUGUUGGGGUGAUAUUAAAAUUUAAUGAACUUUUAAUUAUUAAAAAUCAUUAAUUUAUGAAUUAUUGAUCCAUUAGUAGUGAUUAUAAGAUUAAGUUACUUUAGGGAUAACAGCGUAAUUUUUUUGGAGAGUUCAUAUCGAUAAAAAAGUUUGCGACCUCGAUGUUGGAUUAAGAUAUAUUUUUAGGUGUAGCCGCUUAAAU